Molecule: ribosomal RNA, 2926 nt
Filed under: Escherichia coli
Lineage: Bacteria; Pseudomonadati; Pseudomonadota; Gammaproteobacteria; Enterobacterales; Enterobacteriaceae
Description: 23S ribosomal RNA
Rfam family: Bacterial large subunit ribosomal RNA
Source: RNAcentral
GGGUUGUGAGGUUAAGCGACUAAGCGUACACGGUGGAUGCCCUGGCAGUCAGAGGCGAUGAAGGACGUGCUAAUCUGCGAUAAGCGUCGGUAAGGUGAUAUGAACCGUUAUAACCGGCGAUUUCCGAAUGGGGAAACCCAGUGUGUUUCGACACACUAUCAUUAACUGAAUCCAUAGGUUAAUGAGGCGAACCGGGGGAACUGAAACAUCUAAGUACCCCGAGGAAAAGAAAUCAACCGAGAUUCCCCCAGUAGCGGCGAGCGAACGGGGAGGAGCCCAGAGCCUGAAUCAGUGUGUGUGUUAGUGGAAGCGUCUGGAAAGGCGCGCGAUACAGGGUGACAGCCCCGUACACAAAAAUGCACAUGCUGUGAGCUCGAUGAGUAGGGCGGGACACGUGGUAUCCUGUCUGAAUAUGGGGGGGGACCAUCCUCCAAGGCUAAAUACUCCUGACUGACCGAUAGUGAACCAGUACCGUGAGGGAAAGGCGAAAAGAACCCCGGCGAGGGGAGUGAAAAAGAACCUGAAACCGUGUACGUACAAGCAGUGGGAGCACAGAGCAAUCUGUGUGACUGCGUACCUUUUGUAUAAUGGGUCAGCGACUUAUAUUCUGUAGCAAGGUUAACCGAAUAGGGGAGCCGAAGGGAAACCGAGUCUUAACUGGGCGUUAAGUUGCAGGGUAUAGACCCGAAACCCGGUGAUCUAGCCAUGGGCAGGUUGAAGGUUGGGUAACACUAACUGGAGGACCGAACCGACUAAUGUUGAAAAAUUAGCGGAUGACUUGUGGCUGGGGGUGAAAGGCCAAUCAAACCGGGAGAUAGCUGGUUCUCCCCGAAAGCUAUUUAGGUAGCGCCUCGUGAAUUCAUCUCCGGGGGUAGAGCACUGUUUCGGCAAGGGGUCAUCCCGACUUACCAACCCGAUGCAAACUGCGAAUACCGGAGAAUGUUAUCACGGGAGACACACGGCGGGUGCUAACGUCCGUCGUGAAGAGGGAAACAACCCAGACCGCCAGCUAAGGUCCCAAAGUCAUGGUUAAGUGGGAAACGAUGUGGGAAGGCCCAGACAGCCGUGAUGUUGGCUUAGAAGCAGCCAUCAUUUAAAGAAAGCGUAAUAGCUCACUGGUCGAGUCGGCCUGCGCGGAAGAUGUAACGGGCUAAACCAUGCACCGAAGCUGCGGCAGCGACGCUUAUGCGUUGUUGGGUAGGGGAGCGUUCUGUAAGCCUGUGAAGGUGUACUGUGAGGUAUGCUGGAGGUAUCAGAAGUGCGAAUGCUGACAUAAGUAACGAUAAAGCGGGUGAAAAGCCCGCUCGCCGGAAGACCAAGGGUUCCUGUCCAACGUUAAUCGGGGCAGGGUGAGUCGACCCCUAAGGCGAGGCCGAAAGGCGUAGUCGAUGGGAAACAGGUUAAUAUUCCUGUACUUGGUGUUACCGCGAAGGGGACGGAGAAGGCUAUGUUGGCCGGGCGACGGUUGUCCCGGUUUAAGCGUGUAGGCUGGUUUUCCAGGCAAAUCCGGAAAAUCAAGGCUGAGGCGUGAUGACGAGGCACUACGGUGCUGAAGCAACAAAUGCCCUGCUUCCAGGAAAAGCCUCUAAGCAUCAGGUAACAUCAAAUCGUACCCCAAACCGACACAGGUGGUCAGGUAGAGAAUACCAAGGCGCUUGAGAGAACUCGGGUGAAGGAACUAGGCAAAAUGGUGCCGUAACUUCGGGAGAAGGCACGCUGAUAUGUAGGUGAAGUCCCUCGCGGAUGGAGCUGAAAUCAGUCGAAGAUACCAGCUGGCUGCAACUGUUUAUUAAAAACACAGCACUGUGCAAACACGAAAGUGGACGUAUACGGUGUGACGCCUGCCCGGUGCCGGAAGGUUAAUUGAUGGGGUCAGCGCAAGCGAAGCUCUUGAUCGAAGCCCCGGUAAACGGCGGCCGUAACUAUAACGGUCCUAAGGUAGCGAAAUUCCUUGUCGGGUAAGUUCCGACCUGCACGAAUGGCGUAAUGAUGGCCAGGCUGUCUCCACCCGAGACUCAGUGAAAUUGAACUCGCUGUGAAGAUGCAGUGUACCCGCGGCAAGACGGAAAGACCCCGUGAACCUUUACUAUAGCUUGACACUGAACAUUGAGCCUUGAUGUGUAGGAUAGGUGGGAGGCUUUGAAGUGUGGACGCCAGUCUGCAUGGAGCCGACCUUGAAAUACCACCCUUUAAUGUUUGAUGUUCUAACGUGGACCCGUAAUCCGGGUUGCGGACAGUGUCUGGUGGGUAGUUUGACUGGGGCGGUCUCCUCCUAAAGAGUAACGGAGGAGCACGAAGGUUGGCUAAUCCUGGUCGGACAUCAGGAGGUUAGUGCAAUGGCAUAAGCCAGCUUGACUGCGAGCGUGACGGCGCGAGCAGGUGCGAAAGCAGGUCAUAGUGAUCCGGUGGUUCUGAAUGGAAGGGCCAUCGCUCAACGGAUAAAAAGGUACUCCGGGGAUAACAGGCUGAUACCGCCCAAGAGUUCAUAUCGACGGCGGUGUUUGGCACCUCGAUGUCGGCUCAUCACAUCCUGGGGCUGAAGUAGGUCCCAAGGGUAUGGCUGUUCGCCAUUUAAAGUGGUACGCGAGCUGGGUUUAGAACGUCGUGAGACAGUUCGGUCCCUAUCUGCCGUGGGCGCUGGAGAAUUGAGGGGGGCUGCUCCUAGUACGAGAGGACCGGAGUGGACGCAUCACUGGUGUUCGGGUUGUCAUGCCAAUGGCACUGCCCGGUAGCUAAAUGCGGAAGAGAUAAGUGCUGAAAGCAUCUAAGCACGAAACUUGCCCCGAGAUGAGUUCUCCCUGACUCCUUGAGAGUCCUGAAGGAACGUUGAAGACGACGACGUUGAUAGGCCGGGUGUGUAAGCGCAGCGAUGCGUUGAGCUAACCGGUACUAAUGAACCGUGAGGCUUAACCUUACAACGCCGAAG